AAUCGUGAGUGUGCAUGUGCACUUAUGUAUACAGGUAACACCUGCAACUCGGGGGCCAUCACUGUGUGACCCCCCACUUUAAAGAAGUCUUGGGUACGGGCUUUGGGAAGGUCACUAUCCAGUACAAGUUUUAUGAGAAAUAAAGUGAGACACUAGUAAAUAAGAGAAAAACAAGGGGGAGUGGGAGAAAGGCAGAGUCCAUAGUGUCUUUUUUUUUUUUUUUCUUUUUCUUUUUCCAGCUGCGCCUGCAGCAUAUGGAAGGUCCCAGGCUAGGGGCUGAAUCAGAGCUACAGCUGCCGGUCUAUACCACAGCCACAGCCAAUGCAGGAUCCAAGUUGCGUCUGCAACCUACACCACAGCUCACGGCAACACUGGAUCCUUAACCCACUGAGCGAGGCCAAGGCUCGAACCUGCAUGCUCAUGGAUCCUAGUCGGGUUCUUAACCCACUGAGCCAUGACGGGAACUCCAGUAGUGCCUUUGUUGAUUGGGACCUGAGGACACCAGACUUCAGGGACCCGGGGCGGGGCACUGCUCACUCAGCCCCUCCUCGGUGCUGGCGCGGCUCCAGCCCUCUCUCCCCUCUUCUGGGUCUUCCUGGGCGUCACCAGAGAAGGUUCCGGAGUGUGGGUCACAUGGAUUCCUGUCUCCCUCACGUCAGCCUCACCCGAGUCUGCAGGAAACCGGCUCAGGGGGCAGCCGCGGGCUUCGAGGAAAACACCUCUGCCCUCCCGACCUGUGCUCCACCCGUCAGCCUCUGGGAGGAGCAGAAACGGGGACAAGACCUCUUUCCUACCCUGGGUGUGACACUGUCACAGGCCAUCCUUGUCGAAUGGCCCCUUUAGACUUCGCCAGCCCCUCCUCCACUGAGGGCACAUCGGGCUGUUGCCGUCAUGAGGAUGUGACAGUGUCACAGCUGAGCCCGAGCAGAACCGCGUCUGCUGGCACAUGAUAUAAAAAGGAGCUCUUGUUUUGCACAAAAGGCGAGGGGAGCUGGUCCCUGGGCCCCCAGGGAGGGAGGGAGAGGGACAGGCUGUACUUGACCUCACAGAGUAGGAGGUGAGGCAGAUGACAUCUGCCAGCACCUGCUAAGCACAAAACACACCUGGCACCUUGCGUAUGUUUCCUCGUCUCGUCCUGCUGUUCACCUGCAGGUCGACAUCGUGACCUUCGUUACUCGUAUGAAGCUCAGAGCGGUUGAGUUGCGAGUCUUCUGAGGCUUGUCCAGGGUACAGGAAGAAUUUGAACCUGAGGGUCAGAAGGUUCGAGAGCAGGGAGAAGCCCGGGGUAGCUUCCUUCACGUACUGACCGUGGGUUCAAGGUCCAUGUGAUCGUCACGCGUGCAAGCCUGGGGGUCGCGGGCAAAGCUUUCAGGGUUUUGUUUCUGUUUGUUGUUUAAUGAAGGAAGUCUGAGCUUCCUUCAGGCAUGAGCGGUGAGUUCCACACCUAAAAUAUAUUCACGUGAGUCAGGAGAACUGCUUUUCGGGGUGUUUUGGAACAAUUUCUAAAAAAACGUGGUCCCUGGACCAGCCUCUUGAUCAUCGUCACCCAAGACCUUGUUAGAAAGGCAGCUGGUCAGGUCCCCCUGCAGACGGGCUGAAUCAGAAGGUCUGGGGUCGCCCCCACCCCAUGGCUGCAUUUUCACAACCGUCUUGUCAGCAGUGAGUCGUGCUGGAAUUUGAGACCCACUGUUGCAGUGAAAUAUUGGCAGGUCUGUCCUGCCCUCUAGACACUCAACCUCUCACCUUAUCCUCGUGACAUCUGGGUGUGUCAUAGUGCUUGAUACCUAUGAUAUACCUAUCACAGUGCCUGACAGGUACACCUCUGGGGAUGUGCCUCUCAAGUGUGGUCCUGCAGACGUAUGCAGCAUGGGAAGACAGGAUGCUUGUUCAAAAUGCAAACAUUUAAGCCCCCACCUGUCCCACGACUACACGCACACCCGUGGCAUCCAGGUCCCGGGGGUAGGACCCAGGGGUGUGCAUUUUGAUUACUUCAUUAAUUCCAUGUAUCCUUUUUUUUAAUUGCUUAUUUAUAGAAUAGGUAAUAAAUAAUAAAUACAUCCAAUUGGUACAACAUUCAAAUUGGACAAAUGAGGAUCCAAAAAAAUUAAGUCUUCCUUCCACCCUCUACCCCUAUACCCACCUACCCAGUCCCCUCCUACAAGGCAAUUACAGAGAGCAGGUUUGUUUUGUUUGUUUGUUUUUCAUAUAUUGUUUCAGAGCUUUAACACUUUUAUAAGCAAUUAAACACACACACACAGUACAAAAGGAUCCUACUGCAGAGUUUCUUGCUUUUCCUCCCAGUUAUUUAUCUAGACUCCACAUUAAACAAAUUCACCAAGUGUGAUUCUUUUAACUGUUGGUAGGAAUGUGAAAAGGUGCAGCCAUUCUGGAAAAAUAGUAUGGAGUUUUCUGAAAAAAGAAAACGAAAAAUUGGAGUUCCCAUUGUGGCUCAGCAGGUUAAGAACCUGACUAGUAUCCAUGAGGAUGCAGAUUUGAUCCCUGGCCUCGCUCAGUGGAUUAAGGAUUCCGCAUUGCGGAAAGCUGCAGGUAUAGUUCACAGAUGUGGCUUGGAUCCGGUGUUGCUGUGGCUGUGGUGUAGGCGGGCAGCUGCAGCUCUGAUUCAGCUCCUAGCCUGGGAACUUAUAUAUGCUGCAGAUGUGGCCCUAAAAAGAAAAAUUAAAUCAAUCAAUCAAUCAAAACUAGAACUAAUAGAAGUACCAGAGGAUCCAGCAAUCCCACCUCUGGGCAUUUACCCAAAGGACGCAAAAAUACUAACUCAAAAAGACACACCCUCCCACGUGUUACAGCAUCAUUUGCCCUAGCCAAGACCCAGAAGCAACCUAAGUGCAAACAAGCUUUUAAGCAUGCCUUCUUUUCAGAUUCGGGGGACAGAAUUUGAAAGUCGUGUUCCCAUAAGUGAGAGAUAUUCCUCAGAUGUUUCUCAGCUCAGCUGUGGUUCAUCCCAAAGCUAGAAGUGCCGAGCUUUGCGUCGCUAGCAUCUGAAUUCGUAAGGGAAUAUUUAAUCGAUGCUUCGUCUUUGGUUCCUGUUUUGCUACCCGUCAUGUGUCUCCCGCGAGUGUAAAACCUUGUGUCAUAAAACCACCAGUGAGAAGAUUUCAGGUCUCUUCUUUCUGUUCAUAUGUACCCAAUACUGGGGGGAGUGGUACCCGGCCCGGGAUUGACACUUGGUAAGUAACUGUGGAGUGAAUAUGAGGGUGGUGCAGAUGGCUGAUGAUCAGUGGCUUAGCAGAGUCACAGGUAUUGCAGUUCAGGGUCCUGGGAGGGAGACAGACAUUUCAAGCCCCCAGGUGUGAUUCACACCUGCUCUUUGUAGGUGUGUGGAACCCAGCACUUGGCAGCGGAGAGUCAGCCGUUGAGGCGGGGGACGCAGCAAACACACACUUGAAGGGCUGCUUCAGUACAAAGGCAGCUGCUUGCAAUAAAGGCGCUGCAGCAGCGAAGCCGAAGCCGAACAAACAAACAAAAUCCAUAAAACCAACAAACAAAACCAUGCCCCAUCCAGCCAUUCCCUCAGGACAGACUCCAGCUUCAACUCUUGCAAGACCUCUUGUCCUCGUGGUUUGCAUUUACAGCUCCCAGCUGAUGAUGCGCAUUAGACAGGUGUCCAACAGGUCUUCGUGUGCACAGGUUCUCUUCAUUGUUAGUUGAAUAAAGUGGAGCAAACGGAAGUUAGCCGCCGCCACCGCUAAUGUAUCCGCCCUAAAAUGCAGAGACUGAUGGAGCUUAAAAGACUCUAUGAAAUUUCAGUCUAUCGAGUAGGUCCUCCCAGGGCCUUUGAAAGACACAUAACAAACUGGGGUUAUUAGAGGGUACAGCCUCGAGCUGAAGUCUAAAGACGGGGCAUGUUAGAAAUAGAACUCAAUGGCCCUGGAACUGUUGGGGUCUGGACGAUGAGGCGGUAUAAAUAGCUGAAUCAAAGGACGCCUGUUCUAAGCUGUCCUUUUCACUGGGCAUUCCUGGGGGGGAGCUGAGCCUGGGGCGGGUCCUGCUGGAUCUGGGGGAGGGCACGAAUGUGGACCAAGCAGGCACCACCUUCCCCCCGCUAUCUGGUGGGCCUUCUGGUCUGCAGGCAUCUCACAUCUGUGCUGGUGCCCCAGCCUGAGGCGCUGAACUGGGGAUCCAGAGUGUACAGAGCGGUCCCGGGAGCCUUGGGGACAGCCAAGGAAGGACUCCCGCGCGUAAAACCAGGGGAAGCCUGGGGAAAGUCACAUUGGCGAGAGUAGGACUUGAAAUCCCAGUCUCCAAAAAUGCUUUCUUAAAAAAGUCUCUUGAAACAGUCCAUGGGUGAUUUUUACGCGGCCGCGAUGUGUCUGUUUUGGAGUCGAAAACGUCCUCCUUUCAUCUGAUCGUUUCCUAGAAUCCUGCGUCUGCGUCUCCCGUUCACUCACUGACUUUCGAUUCAGUUCAGCACUCGGUCAUCACUUAACGCAGCCCAGACACUCUGUUUAAGCUCUUUGAGGGCGCGUGUGUGAACACAGUGAGAGGCAUCAGUAUUCGUGCUGGAAACAGCCUUAGAGAUGAUUCCUUAAUUCAUUCAAAUAAAUGCGGAGUCUACACGAUGCCCCCCCCCCCGAAAACUAAGAAGAUAGCAAUAAGCCAGGACAGGCAAGGUGUCUGGGUCCCGUGAUCCAGGGGCACAUUCUAGAGCCACCUGGAGAGCUUGUGAGAUGCCCAUGCCAGGACGGAAACCCACCCUGAAGCUUCUGAUUCCGUUUCAUAGAGUCCUGGCGACACAGGGAAAUCGGGUGCCCGUUCUGUCUCGGAACCAGGAAGGCGGCACCGUUUGACUGCAUGGAGCAAACUCGGGUUCAGAGAGAAGCCGUAACGUUCCCGAGGAUAUAGACGGCUUCAGGCGUGCCGGGACCUCAGAUGUCACAGUACCUACCUCACGGCAGGAUGGAUAAAGAGACACGAACACGAGUGGCCAUAAAAGCAGGUCCAAUGUGGCAGGGUCUCUAGGAAAAGCCCAGAAUACCCCAGGGAUAGGUCACUUCCAGGAAGGUCAUACCAGAUGCCAGACGAAAAGGCCCGGAGUGGCCUUGGGAAAUGCCGGCGGUGGUGUGAGUGUUUAGGAAGGAAGAGUGAGCCCUCCAAAGCCGUGCUCUUUGGAGACGAUUUUGGCUGUUUAGGAUCCUUUGCAACGAACGCCUCAUGCGUUUUAGAAGCGACGCUUUCAUUUCGGCAGAAAAAGGCCACUGGGAUUUUCGUAGGGAUUGCAUUGAAUACACCGACUGUUUUGGGGCCUAUAACCAUCUUAAUAAUAUUAAGUCUUGCAGUCCACAAAGAGGGGCGUUUUCCCAGUUUUUUAGGUCUCUCUAACGUCUUCCGCAGCGUUUCGCCAACUUCGCUGUGUACGUGUUGGAUGAAUUCAUUUCGAAGUAUUCUCUUCCUUUUGAUGCUGUUGUAGAUGCAGUUGUUUUCUAAAUUUCCUGUCUGGAUUGUUCAUUGCCAGGGUACAGAAAUCCAGCUGACUUUUGCAUGUUCGUCUUAUACCCUGUGACUUUGUUCAAUUAGCUUAUUAGCCGUGAUGGAUUUUUAAAAAUAGAUUUUCCAGGAUUUUCUGUAUCUAAGAUCAUGUCUUCUAUGAAUAGCUGUACUUCCUCCUUCCUUUUAUUUCUUUCAUUGCCAGAAUGCUCUGACUGGAAUGUCUAGUAAUUUUAUUUUUUUUUUGGUCUCUAUUUUAGGGCCGCACCCGUGGCAUAUGGAGGGUCCCAGGCUAGGGUAGAAAUGGAGCUGCAGCUGCCGGCCUCCACCACAGCCACAGCCACACGCAAUCUGAGCCCCAUCUGCGACCCACAGCACAGCUCACGGCAACGCCAGAUCCUUAACCCACUGGGCGAGGCCAGGGUUGGAGCCUGCAUCCUCAUGGACACUAGUCGGAUUAGUUACUGCUGAGCCACAGCGGGAACUCCAUCUAGUACUGUUUUGAAUAGAAGUGGGGUGAAAGGACAUGUGCGUCUUAUUCUUCACGUUGGAGGAAAAGUUUUCAAUUGAUGGAUAUGAAGAGAGUCUUUCUUAAUUACACUGAUCUAGUCCAUGAUGUAGUUACCAGCUAGAUUCCCGGUGACACACAAGCGACUGAGGGAGAAAGAUUGCAAUUUCUGUCUCCUACAUCGAUAUAGGAAUAGCAACCAGGAAAAUCAGAAAGGAAAAUGCAGGCGUUCCCUGAUGGCCUCGUAGUGAAGGAUCUGGGAGUUGUUACUGCUGUGGCCCAGGGUUCGAUCCCUGGCCUAGGAACUUCUGCAUGCCACAGGUGCG
RNAcentral lists this long non-coding RNA (6279 nucleotides) under Sus scrofa (pig). Its description in RNAcentral is "lncRNA (ENSSSCG00000059067.1)". Lineage: Eukaryota; Metazoa; Chordata; Mammalia; Artiodactyla; Suidae. The record is from RNAcentral.